Macaca mulatta (Rhesus monkey) is the source of this 426-nucleotide non-coding RNA. The record is from RefSeq and is a predicted model, not a curated record. NCBI's taxonomy places the organism in Eukaryota, Metazoa, Chordata, Mammalia, Primates, Cercopithecidae.
UUGCAUGGUUGGUGAGGGGCAACUAGUGUGAACUGAAUACCAGUCAGGCAGUAGGAUACUCGCUCUGAAAUCAAUUGGAGAUUUAAGGAGAAAAAAAUUCAGUCCUUUGCCACAAAUAGUUUCCGAAGCAUUGCUCUAAACCAUUAUAUUGCCUUCCCGGAGUGAAAACAAAGAAAUCAAUGUAGCCGAGUAAGAUGCUAAGAAAUAGGAAGAUGCAGCGUUAUGAAGCUCAGCUCCAGAAACAGCUUUGUUGCUCACAAACUCGGUCAUUAAUGGAGGAAAGAGUCUCGUCUUGGAGAUGGUGGAGAGGAAGCUGAAAGGAUCAGAAUCCCUGGGGACUUUGCAGACUAACCACAGCAAAACCAGUGUUGGCUGCCUGCUGGACGACUGGCACAUGAAGAAGAAAUAAACUUCUGUUUCAAAUAA